GCACAGAUUGCAGUGAGCUGAGAUUGUGCCAUUGCACUCCAGCCUGGGUCAACAAGAGUGAAAUUCUGUCUCAGGAAAAAAAAAAAAAAAAAAAAAAGAGAAGGGUCAGACCCAGCCCUGGGACAUCCUCAAAUGUUGAGAUGCUCUGGAUUUUGAUGGCCUGUACUGGCAUUAACACACAACCAUAGGCAAACUAUGAAACAAUUUGCACUGGUGUAUAAAAUAUGGUGGCCAAGCUGAAGUAAUAACAUGAAUAAACAAAUAAUAUAAGGCAAUAUCUCUUAAGCUUGGAAUUCUAAAAGCAAUGGAGAGUCCCAAGGGAAAACAAUACCACUCUUAACUAUCUUAUUCCUACUCCCACAGCCUGGGGCUGAGUCUUGGUGCUGGAGAGAAAGGAAAGAGCUGGCUUUCUUCCAGUCCCUCAUUCAUCUUGCCUGGCUCUGCCUGGUCCACACUUAAACUUGUUUGUUAGAAAUAUGGUCACUUUAGUCAUCUUCUACCCAGUCAUCAACUCACCCUUUCUGCUCCCUGAUAUGGAUUUGGUAAAAGCCAUGGCAAGUGCUCAGGAGAGGGAAUCACCAGAAACCUUUGUUAGUCCAGAGUUUAGAGAUUAAGGGUAAGCCUCAUAGGGGUUGGGAGUCUUAUGGGGACUACAUAAGAGAUUACUAACGAAGGAGGAAAGAGGCAUAUGAGGGCUGAUGCUGAGGGAAUCUGCUAACAGCAAUCCAAGGUCAUCCCUGCAGGUAGGUCUGUGGCUGAGUAGAUUCCUGUAGAAUAGAUUCAGGUAGACUAUGUUCAGCAACACUGGAGCAGUCAAGCAGGCUUUGUUCCUAACUUCACUUCUCUUAUCAAGGAGCUUUAUCAUCAUCUCUAUGCUUCUAAAACCUCACUGCUGUUUCCCAGCUUAUUACCCCAGAAACAGACUUGGGCCAGCAUGGAUGACAGAAAAUGUUAUUUGCUCAGCUCUCUGAUUCCUAUACUUGCCAGCAGCAAUCACGACCGCCAGCACCAAAAGGACAGAGGGAGUCUGGGUCAGCCCUGCUUUAUGCAAAACAAGAGCAACAGUUCAAGUUUGAUGAAAACUGGAAGAAAAUAUUUUAAUAAACGUUUGGGUUAGAGGUAAAAAUUAGUGGUCAGUAGAACACCCAAGAAAGGAAACAGCCUCCCUGCACUGUUUGGGGGUGGUAGCUGGCAGGCACCUAAAAACACACCAGUUUUUGAAAACUUCUCUAGCUUUCUCACUGUGUUACUUUCACACUGUGCUAUGGUUUGAAUGUUUGUGUGCCCCCAAAAGUGAUACAUUGAAACCUCAUCUCCAAUAUGAUGACAUGAGCAAGUGGGAGUUUUAAGAGAUGAGGUCAUGAGGGCAGAGACUUAAUCAAUAAAAUUAGUAACUUUAUAAAAGAGGCCCCAGAGAACCUCACGGCCACUUCCACCAUGUGAAGACACAGCAAGACGCUGCAAUCUAUGAACCAAGAAAUGGGCCCUCACCAGACACUGCAUCUGCCUGUGUCUUGAUCUUGGACUUCCCAGCUUCUAGAACUGUAAGAAAUCAAUUUCUGUUGUGUAUCAGCCACCCAGUCUAUGGUAUCGUAGCCCAAAUGGACUAAGACACACUGCUUUCUCAAAUAUUCUUUCUCAUAGUCUCAACAACCAUUGUGUCAAUGUAUUGCCUUCAAACACUUUGAAACGUUGACAUUUUCGGAGACUGUGCCAAAAAGGAGGAAAUAUCCCUUAAGCCAGGCUUCCAUCCUGAAUUCUACACACAAGAUGAAGAGAAGAGAUUCUUUUACUCCUUCCAGAAAGGGGUGAAAGAAGGAAAGAGGAAGCUAAUAGGAACAGAAAAGCUGUGACCUGCCCAUGUGACCAUUCCCUGCCACCUCCAAAUGGUCACCAAGCAUUUCCAGAAAUACCUCAUGAAUGCUCUGAGUUGCUCCAUCUACAUGAUAGGGAGUUCUACGUGGGAUUCCUUGCAAGCAGCUCUGAUGGCAGGAGGGGAGACCAUGG
RNAcentral lists this long non-coding RNA (2007 nucleotides) under Homo sapiens (human). Its description in RNAcentral is "HSALNT0128863". Lineage: Eukaryota; Metazoa; Chordata; Mammalia; Primates; Hominidae. The record is from RNAcentral.